This 61-nucleotide transfer RNA is filed under the name Galendromus occidentalis (western predatory mite). Its description in RNAcentral is "tRNA-Leu". Lineage: Eukaryota; Metazoa; Arthropoda; Arachnida; Mesostigmata; Phytoseiidae. The record is from RNAcentral.
UAUUAAGUGGCAGACAAAUGUAAAGAAUUUAAAUUUCUUAAAUGUAAUUUUACCUUAAUGA